This 123-nucleotide transfer RNA is filed under the name Thermochaetoides thermophila DSM 1495. Its description in RNAcentral is "Chaetomium thermophilum var. thermophilum DSM 1495 tRNA". It matches the Rfam family "tRNA". From Rfam's summary of the family: Transfer RNA (tRNA) molecules are approximately 80 nucleotides in length. Lineage: Eukaryota; Fungi; Ascomycota; Sordariomycetes; Sordariales; Chaetomiaceae. The record is from Rfam by way of RNAcentral.
GCCCGCAUGGCUCAGUGGUAGAGCGUGACACUAGUAUGAUGCACUGACCCAGGGUUAUUACACCGGGUUGCGUGGACACAUCUGGCUAUGUCAAGGUCGUCAGUUCAAUUCUGGCUGUGGGCA